This 565-nucleotide ribosomal RNA is filed under the name uncultured Glomeromycotina. RNAcentral's name for it is "SSU rRNA". It matches the Rfam family "Eukaryotic small subunit ribosomal RNA", at positions 548 to 1114 of the family's 1831-position model. The record is from RNAcentral. Lineage: Eukaryota; Fungi; Glomeromycota.
UUGGAGGGCAAGUCUGGUGCCAGCAGCCGCGGUAAUUCCAGCUCCAAUAGCGUAUAUUAAAGUUGUUGCAGUUAAAAAGCUCGUAGUUGAGUUUCGGGGUCAGUAGGUUGGUCAUGCCACUGGUAUGUACUGGUCUCACUGAUUCCUCCUUCCUGAUGAACUGUAAUGCCAUUAAUUUGGUGUUGCAGGGAGUCUGGACUGUUACUUCGAAAAAAUUAGAGUGUUUAAAGCAGGCUAACGCCCGAAUACAUUAGCAUGGAAUAAUGAAAUAGGACGUUCGAUCCUAUUUUGUUGGUUUCUAGGAUUGACGUAAUGAUUAAUAGGGAUAGUUGGGGGCAUUAGUAUUCAAUUGUCAGAGGUGAAAUUCUUGGAUUUAUUGAAGACUAACUACUGCGAAAGCAUUUGCCAAGGAUGUUUUCAUUAAUCAAGAACGAAAGUUAGGGAAUCGAAGACGAUCAGAUACCGUCGUAGUCUUAACCAUAAACUAUGCCGACUAGGGAUCGGAUGACGUUAAUUUUUUAAUGACUCAUUCGGCGCCUUACGGGAAACCAAAGUGUUUGGGUUC